This 213-nucleotide ribosomal RNA is filed under the name Triticum aestivum (bread wheat). Its description in RNAcentral is "partial small subunit ribosomal RNA". Lineage: Eukaryota; Viridiplantae; Streptophyta; Magnoliopsida; Poales; Poaceae. The record is from RNAcentral.
AUGUAUCAUGCACUCACACAUUCUGAGGUACCAGUGAGUUAUAAUAAGAAAAUUUGGAGGUCAAAGAUACCACUAUAAGUUAAAAUCUUCAUGUGGUAUCUUCGUAGGGGAGUUGUUCUAACCAAAGACAACCUCGCACGACACAAUUGGAAAGGGAGUAAGAAGUGUUGUUUUUGUUCUCAUAAUGAGAUAAUCAGACACCUCUUUCUCUAA